UGGAUCAUGCCAAAAGGAAAGAAGGGAUAGCCUUAACAUACGUGAGCCGAUUCAUUUGACAAUCCCUCUAACACACGUCUUUUGUGAUAAAACAUGUAACAUCGGAUUGAAAUAAGGAUAAAUUCAUAUGAUAUUCUUGAGAAAGGUUUUACCGGGUUCCCUUAGAAUUUGCAAUUCACAUUGUUAUAGCAUUCUAAGGGUCCAUAUGG
RNAcentral lists this long non-coding RNA (209 nucleotides) under Nicotiana benthamiana. Its description in RNAcentral is "long non-coding RNA (NBEN_LNC021480)". Lineage: Eukaryota; Viridiplantae; Streptophyta; Magnoliopsida; Solanales; Solanaceae. The record is from RNAcentral.